RNAcentral lists this ribosomal RNA (460 nucleotides) under uncultured bacterium. RNAcentral's name for it is "partial 16S ribosomal RNA". It matches the Rfam family "Bacterial small subunit ribosomal RNA", at positions 338 to 795 of the family's 1533-position model. The record is from RNAcentral.
CCUACGGGAGGCUGCAGUGAGGAAUAUUGGUCAAUGGACGAGAGUCUGAACCAGCCAAGUAGCGUGAAGGAUGACUGCCCUAUGGGUUGUAAACUUCGUUUAUAUGGGAAUAAAAUGUUCCACGUGUGGGAUUUUGUAUGUACCAUAUGAAUAAGGAUCGGCUAACUCCGUGCCAGCAGCCGCGGUAAUACGGAGGAUCCGAGCGUUAUCCGGAUUUAUUGGGUUUAAAGGGAGCGUAGGUGGAUUGUUAAGUCAGUUGUGAAAGUGUGCGGCUCAACCGUAAAAUUGCAGUUGAAACUGGCAGUCUUGAGUACAGUAGAGGUGGGCGGAAUUCGUGGUGUAGCGGUGAAAUGCUUAGAUAUCACGAAGAACUCCGAUUGCGAAGGCAGUUCACUGGACUGCAACUGACACUGAGGCUCGAAAGUGUGGGUAUCAAACAGGAUUAGAUACCCCAGUAGUC